UACGGAGGGGGCUAGCGUUGUUCGGAAUUACUGGGCGUAAAGCGUACGUAGGCGGCUUUGUAAGUUAGCGGUGAAAGCCCGGGGCUCAACUCCGGAAUUGCCUUUAAGACUGCAUCGCUCGAAUCAUGGAGAGGUGAGUGGAAUUCCGAGUGUAGAGGUGAAAUUCGUAGAUAUUCGGAAGAACACCAGGGGCGAAGGCGACUCACUGGACAGGUAUGGACGCUGAGGGGCGAAAGCGUGGGGAGCAAACAGG
Molecule: ribosomal RNA, 253 nt
Filed under: uncultured bacterium
Lineage: Bacteria
Description: partial 16S ribosomal RNA
Rfam family: Bacterial small subunit ribosomal RNA
Source: RNAcentral